UACGGAGGAUGCAAGCGUUAUCCGGAAUCAUUGGGCGUAAAGCGUCCGCAGGUGGCCAGUCAAGUCUGCUGUUAAAAACAGAAGCUCAACUUCUGAAUGGCGGUGGAAACUGGCUGGCUAGAGUAUGGUAGGGGUUGAGGGAAUUCCCAGUGUAGCGGUGAAAUGCGUAGAUAUUGGGAAGAACACCAGUGGCGAAGGCGCUCAACUGGGCCAUAACUGACACUCAGGGACGAAAGCUAGGGUAGCGAAAGGG
This 253-nucleotide ribosomal RNA is filed under the name uncultured bacterium. Its description in RNAcentral is "partial 16S ribosomal RNA". It matches the Rfam family "Bacterial small subunit ribosomal RNA", at positions 524 to 776 of the family's 1533-position model. The record is from RNAcentral.